AAGGAGGGUGCAAGCGUUAUUCGGAUUUAUUGGGCGUAAAGGGCGCGUAGGCGGCUUUUUAAGUCAGAUGUGAAAUCCCGGGGCUUAACCUCGGAAGUGCAUUUGAAACUGGGAAGCUCGAGUAUGGGAGAGGGAAACGGAAUUCCUGGUCUCGCGGUGAAAUGCGUAGAUAUCAGGAGGAACACCGGUGGCGAAAGCGGUUUCCCGGACCAAUACUGACGCUGAGGCGCGUAGGCGAGGGGAUCACACAU
This 251-nucleotide ribosomal RNA is filed under the name uncultured prokaryote. Its description in RNAcentral is "partial 16S rRNA". It matches the Rfam family "Bacterial small subunit ribosomal RNA", at positions 525 to 775 of the family's 1533-position model. The record is from RNAcentral.